This 1347-nucleotide ribosomal RNA is filed under the name Triticum aestivum (bread wheat). Its description in RNAcentral is "partial small subunit ribosomal RNA". Lineage: Eukaryota; Viridiplantae; Streptophyta; Magnoliopsida; Poales; Poaceae. The record is from RNAcentral.
AUGAAAAAAGGAGGUAAAUCUCAGAGCUCUCCAAGUGAGGUUUCAAAUUUUAGAAAACCAACAUGCAUAGGUCCAUUCUGCAAUGCUAUAAUGUGGCAUCAAGAGAGAAGCAAGCAUAACACAAAUAAGUCAAGACCAACAUUCGGACUUUGUUGCAGGGAAGGCAAAGUCAAACUGCCACCAUUAAAAAAACCUCCAGCAUACCUUCAACAGCUACUAACAUCUAAUGAAAAGGGAGAAUCAUCAAAUUACAGAGACAAUAUCAGGAACUAUAAUUCAAUGUUUGCAUUUACUUCGAUGGGUGGCCAGGUCGACUACGAGAUAAACAAAAAAGGUGGUGCACCAUAUGUUUUUCGCUUGAAUGGCCAAAACUAUCAUCAAAUUGGCACGUUGCUACCUAAAGAUAAUGGAGAUAAUGCUCUCAGGCCAAAGUUUGCUCAAUUGUACAUUUAUGAUACAGAAAAUGAGGUGAGAAACAGAAUGCCGGCUUCAACCUCAAAGGAAAGGAAAACACAACUUCAUGAAGGCAUUGUGUCUGGAUUAUUGCAGAUGCUUGAUGAUCACAAUGAGUUAGUGAAAUCAUUCUAUAUGGCAAGGGAUAGAUACCGAGAGUCGGAUCUCGAAAAUGUUAGGUUGCGAUUAAUUGGUACAAGAUCCAGUGAUGGAAGACAAUACAACCUACCAACUGCAUCUGAAAUAGCUGCACUCAUUGUUGGGGAACAGACAGGAGAAAAUGUUGAACGUGAUAUAAUUGUAGAAAACAAAGACAAACAACUCCAGCGAAUUUCAGAACUGCAUCCAAGCUUUAUGUCUAUGCAAUACCCGUUGUUAUUCCGAUGCGGAGAAGAUGGAUUCAGACCGGAAAUAAAAUUAGAAAAAACAAAAGGUGUCGAAGGAAAGAGAAAGUAUGUUACCAUGAUGGAGUAUUAUGCAUAUCGCAUACAGCAGCGACUGAACCAGUCAGUAGUCUUGCAAACGAGUGGAAAAUUGUUCCUUCAGUUCAUCGUAGACGCAGCAACAUGCAUUGAGCAAUGGAGGCUGAAUUGGUACAGGAUGCAUCAAGGGACGCUUAGAACAGAGUUAUAUAGCGGUCUGCAAGACUCAAUUGAUAAUGGUGAUACCAGAAUUGAUCAAGUAGGUAAAAGAAUUAUACUACCUUCAUCAUAUAAUGGAAGUCCGAGGAAUAAACAGCAGUACUGCCAGGAUGCAAUGGCCAUAUGUCGGUGGGCUAGAUAUCCAGAUAUGUUUAUCACUUUCACAUGCAAUCCCAAAGUGGACAGAAAUACAGACCAUGUUGGACUUCAUACCAGGACAAAAACCAGAAGAUCGUCUAGACAUUGUCAAUAG